Molecule: transfer RNA, 85 nt
Filed under: Dethiobacter sp.
Lineage: Bacteria; Bacillati; Bacillota; Dethiobacteria; Dethiobacterales; Dethiobacteraceae
Description: tRNA-Leu
Rfam family: tRNA
About the family: Transfer RNA (tRNA) molecules are approximately 80 nucleotides in length.
Source: RNAcentral
GCGGGCGUGGCGGAACCGGCAGACGCGCAGGACUUAGGAUCCUGUGGGGCGACCCGUGGGGGUUCAAAUCCCUUCGCCCGCACCA